UGCAUGUGGCUCAGUUCUUAGAGCAUUGUGCAAAUAACGCAAAGCUCAUGGGUUAAAAUCCCAGGGCAAGCAA
This is a non-coding RNA of Danionella cerebrum, 73 nucleotides long. The record is from the annotation of a GenBank genome assembly. Lineage: Eukaryota; Metazoa; Chordata; Actinopteri; Cypriniformes; Danionidae.